UACGUAGGGGGCUAGCGUUGUCCGGAAUCAUUGGGCGUAAAGCGCGUGUAGGCGGUCCGGUAAGUCCGCUGUGAAAGUCGGGGGCUCAACCCUCGAAUGCCGGUGGAUACUGUCGGGCUAGAGUGCGGAAGAGGCGAGUGGAAUUCCUGGUGUAGCGGUGAAAUGCGCAGAUAUCAGGAGGAACACCGAUGGCGAAGGCAGCUCGCUGGGACGGUACUGACGCUGAGGUGCGAAAGCGUGGGGAGCAAACAGG
RNAcentral lists this ribosomal RNA (253 nucleotides) under uncultured bacterium. RNAcentral describes it as "partial 16S ribosomal RNA". It matches the Rfam family "Bacterial small subunit ribosomal RNA", at positions 524 to 776 of the family's 1533-position model. The record is from RNAcentral.